UACAUACAUACAAUAUAAUAAAAACAGAACAAAGAACUAAAGAAAACAACAAUUAGCUAAAGAAAACAGCAACUUAACAAUCCCAUAGCGAAAUUUGUAACAAAAAGUUAAAAAAACGUGCGAGAAAAACUAACUAAUCGAAUCCGAAUAGCCUGUUGAAACAAUUUGUAAGUGUGCAAAGAGGGGGAGACCGAAACAAG
Drosophila guanche is the source of this 200-nucleotide long non-coding RNA. RefSeq lists it as uncharacterized. The record is from RefSeq and is a predicted model, not a curated record. The transcript has 3 exons. NCBI's taxonomy places the organism in Eukaryota, Metazoa, Arthropoda, Insecta, Diptera, Drosophilidae.